Long non-coding RNA from Triticum aestivum (bread wheat), 2290 nucleotides. RefSeq lists it as uncharacterized. The record is from RefSeq and is a predicted model, not a curated record. NCBI's taxonomy places the organism in Eukaryota, Viridiplantae, Streptophyta, Magnoliopsida, Poales, Poaceae. The transcript is spliced from 8 exons.
CCUACGAUCGAUGCCUCGUGCCCAAAAAACCCUACGAUCGAUGCCUCGUGCCCACAGCAGAUCGUUCUCCGCCGCCAACCAGCCCUUCGCACACCCGAUCCACCCCUUCGCCCCCGCCGGACAUCCAUCCCUGUGCCGCGGCCGAUCCUAUCCUUCGCCGUCGCCCUCGCACAUCACAGCCGCCGCCCGUCCAUCGUACGAUCUGCUUCAGGAUCGCUUCACGAGACGGCGCCGCGAUCCCGUUUAGGAGACGCCGGCGAUCACGCCCAGGAUCCGACGGCGAUCCCCUUCUGGACAGGCACAUCCUCUCGAACGCACAACUUGCAUUCGUCCCUGCGCUACUUUCGUCCCUUCGUCGCCGCCCUCCCAUCGAUCUGCCGCCGAUCCCUGCGGAGCUUCCCUCCCCAAUCCGAUCUGACGGAGAGAGUGCCAGAUCCGGCCGGGGGAGCCGCCGUAGAGCCUCCACGUCGGUGGAGCAGCACCUCCUGCCACGGGUGCCGCCGCCACCUCCUGCCUCACGACCCUUUGCCGCGACUCCGCCCCCAAGCGCCGCUCCCGCACGCAACCCUAACCCUAUCCCGCCAUGCCUCGCUACCUCGCCGCUUGAGCCGCGCUGAUGGAGCCCGAGCAGCGGUGGUCGACCCCGUCGCCGCCGCCGAGCCUGUGGAUGAGGAGAAGGAAAAGGAGGAGGAGACGGAGGCGGCCGAGGACUAGGAGGACACGCUGCUGGACCGCGCGCAGCCUGAUCUCACGGGUCCCUUUGCACAUGUGCAGUUCGUCAAUGGACCAAUGCCUAAUCUCCCCAAGGUUGAUGUUUCACUGGACCCGGUGAAGGAGUUGAGCAGAGUAAUAUCUGAGCGAAAAAAUUGAGGGGCGUGCUUUGGUUGUGCUCUCAGCCAGGUUAUUUUACGAGGGUUGUGUGCACUGAACCCCAUUUCUCUGGACCAAGGGACGAUGAACAAGAUGGGAAUGAGGAGGAUGCGACCUAUAGAUGGUUGCUAUGGAUCAGGAGGUUAACUAAUACAUGCAUCAGCUUUGUAUCAUAAAGAUUUCACCAUCCCAAGGUAAUGGAAAUAAGUUCACAAGAUUCUCAUGUUGAGGUCUGUACAAAGAGAUACAAGGCAAUGUCUGUGUGCUGGAACGAGAAACUCACUGCCAAAGCUAUAAUCCCUGAUGCUAAAGCCUGCAUGUUCAGAUCUGCUGAGUUUACUCAUAUUAAUAAUGAUUAAUACAGAGGGAGCCCUUUUGUCAGGUCAUUUAAUCAUUUAAUCAUAGGUACAUUAUCUCAGGUAACUUACUACUACCUUUGUUCAAAAAUAAGUGACGUUAACUUAGUACACCUUUGCACUAAAAUUGUACUAAAUCCGUGACACUUAUUUUGGGACAGAGGGAGUAUUUCAUUUUCUACCUGAACCAAGUUGUUAUUUCAUUUCUAAGAGGCAAAGAGUUCCUCCUGGUUAGUUUGCCACAUUUUAUAUGUCUAUCUAUGUGCAUUACUAAUUCACUAUAUGCACCUUUAGUUCCCAGUUUUGGCUCACUUUCUUGAUGCAUCUUGGAUGAGAGGAAAGGAAUGGAUAAUCUGACAAGCAAUGUUCGGGCAUACCCUUAUAUUUACGUCUGAUGAAAUGCUGCGGGUGCAAAAUAAUCAAGACUGCUGCCAUGAGCAAAAGAGCAGACAUUACUUAUGAGAAAACAAUAAAAGAAUCUUCCGUGACUACAUACCACGACGAGUCAAAGACAAUGAAAGCACUACUCCAUUGGUGGUGUUAGCAAGUGGAGUCUGGAGGGAGAACAACACAAAGUAGGAAAUUGAUUCCCUCGCCCUCGCUUGCUUCAACGACCCUGCCCGUCUUGGUGGGGUCGAUUCCCCCAUCGCCCGACUCAUCUCCGACGAGUAUGGCGUCAGUGGGUACGCCCCGCCAUUCGUAUGCUUGGCGGGUCCCAGAACACCCGUGACGUGUAUGAGCUUGACUAGGGCGAGGGGCUCGUGCUCGUGCUCGAGCUCGACAAGACGCACUUCGAUCUCGUCACCAACUACGAGCUGGACUGUGAGACUCCAGAGCAGGCGGGGGUGACGAAGACGAAAGUGGGGGCAGUUCGAGCUUGUCGCUGCCGGAGACCCUGGAGAGGUGCGCGAAGAGACCUGGUUAGAUUUGUUGGCCACCACUGGUAAACUGCACUAAUAACAAAUCGGAUGUCAUCUCUCAUGUUGCGGAUUCAACCCUGGACGAUGUUGCGUGGCCUGCGGCCAUGGACGAUGUGCUGUUGGACAACGACACAAGGCCGAGGC